RNAcentral lists this ribosomal RNA (515 nucleotides) under uncultured bacterium. RNAcentral's name for it is "partial 16S ribosomal RNA". It matches the Rfam family "Bacterial small subunit ribosomal RNA", at positions 28 to 523 of the family's 1533-position model. The record is from RNAcentral.
GAUGAACGCUGGCGGCGUGCCUAAUACAUGCAAGUCGAGCGAAUGGAUUGAGGGCUUGCUCUUAUGGAGUUAGCGGCGGACGGGUGAGUAACACGUGGGUAACCUGCCCAUAAGACUGGGAUAACUCCGGGAAACCGGGGCUAAUACCGGAUAACAUUUUGAACCGCAUGGUUCGAAAUAGAAAGGCGGCUUCGGCUGUCACUUAUGGAUGGACCCGCGUCGCAUUAGCUAGUUGGUGAGGUAACGGCGCACCAAGGCAACGAUGCGUAGCCGACCUGGGAGGGUGAUCGGCCACACUGGGACUGAGACACGGCCCAGACUCCUACGGGAGGCAGCAGUAGGGAAUCUUCCGCAAUGGACGAAAGUCUGACGGAGCAACGCCGCGUGAGUGAUGAAGGCUUUCGGGUCGUAAAACUCUGUUGUUAGGGAAGAACAAGUGCUAGUUGAAUAAGCUGGCACCUUGACGGUACCUAACCAGAAAGCCACGGCUAACUACGUGCCAGCCGCCGCCGUAA